Molecule: ribosomal RNA, 444 nt
Filed under: uncultured bacterium
Lineage: Bacteria
Description: partial 16S ribosomal RNA
Rfam family: Bacterial small subunit ribosomal RNA
Source: RNAcentral
GCCUACGGGUGGCUGCAGUGGGGAAUAUUGGGCAAUGGGCGCCAGCCUGACCCAGCAACGCCGCGUGAAGGAAGAAGGCUUUCGGGUUGUAAACUUCUUUUCUCAGGGACGAAGAAAGUGACGGUACCUGAGGAAUAAGCCACGGCUAACUACGUGCCAGCAGCCGCGGUAAUACGUAGGGGGCGAGCGUUAUCCGGAAUUACUGGGUGUAAAGGGAGCGUAGACGGCGAGGUAAGCCUGAAGUGGAAGCCCGCGGCCCAACCGCGGAACUGCUUUGGGAACUGUUUUGCUGGAGUAUGGGAGGGGUAAGCGGAAUUCCUGGUGUAGCGGUGAAAUGCGUAGAUAUCAGGAGGAACACCGGUGGCGAAGGCGGCUUACUGGACCAUAACUGACGUUGAGGCUCGAAAGCGUGGGGAGCGAACAGGAUUAGAUACCCUUGUAGUC